GCUCAACCUGGGAACUGCAUCUGAUACUGGCAAGCUUGAGUCUCGUAGAGGGGGGUAGAAUUCCAGGUGUAGCGGUGAAAUGCGUAGAGAUCUGGAGGAAUACCGGUGGCGAAGGCGGCCCCCUGGACGAAGACUGACGCUCAGGUGCGAAAGCGUGGGGAGCAAACAGGAUUAGAUACCCUGGUAGUCCACGCCGUAAACGAUGUCGACUUGGAGGUUGUGCCCUUGAGGCGUGGCUUCCGGAGCUAACGCGUUAAGUCGACCGCCUGGGGAGUACGGCCGCAAGGUUAAAACUCAAAUGAAUUGACGGGGGCCCGCACAAGCGGUGGAGCAUGUGGUUUAAUUCGAUGCAACGCGAAGAACCUUACCUGGUCUUGACAUCCACGGAAGUUUUCAGAGAUGAGAAUGUGCCUUCGGGAACCGUGAGACAGGUGCUGCAUGGCUGUCGUCAGCUCGUGUUGUGAAAUGUUGGGUUAAGUCCCGCAACGAGCGCAACCC
Molecule: ribosomal RNA, 498 nt
Filed under: Escherichia coli
Lineage: Bacteria; Pseudomonadati; Pseudomonadota; Gammaproteobacteria; Enterobacterales; Enterobacteriaceae
Description: bacterial SSU rRNA
Rfam family: Bacterial small subunit ribosomal RNA
Source: RNAcentral